AUGUGGUUAAGGGACCUGUCACUAGAACAAGGGACUAGAGAGCAUCCACACUGCUGAAAAGGAAAGCCUCUUUCUAACCGUUUGUGAAACUCGUCCAAGCAAGGGACUCGUGCAGCGCCUCCUCUCCACUCAGUGCCCCAGAGGCUCAGCCCCCGCGACCUUCCCACCCGCGGAUCCCUGUAGCUUUCCCCACCAGCCAUGCUCCUGCUGCUCGUGCCGGUGCUCGCGAUGGUUUUCACCCUGAGAGGAAGCGGAGCCCAGUCAGUGACCCAGCCUGACCGCCACGUCCUGGUCUCUGAAGGAGCCCCUCUGCAGCUGAGGUGCAGCUACUCAUCUUCUGUUCCUCCCUAUCUCUUCUGGUACCAGCAACGCCCCAGCCAAGGCCUCCAGCUCCUCCUGAAGUACGUGUCAGGGGCCACCCUGGUGACAGGCAUCAAUGGUUUCCAGGCUGAACUUAGGAAGAAUGAAACCUCCUUCCACCUGAGGAAGCCCUCAGCCCACUGGAGCGACUCAGCUGAGUACUUCUGUGCUUUGAGUGACACAGUGCCUGGGGCUGCAGGGGGAGCUAACCACAAACCUGACACAGGGCACUUUCUGUGACACACAGGUUCAAGCUGGGGAGUUUUCAAGAGGUUUUCCUUUUCUGUGCAGCCCAAGAGGACAGAGUGGCCUGAGUCCUGGGGAAUAUUUGUCUCCUGAAUAUUUGCCUCCAUGUCUGUGUACUGCCGCCUUCAGACUGGCUGUGGCCCAGAUAAAGGUUUUGUGUUGAAUUUCUCCGGGAGGGAAACCUGUGUUCCCCCACAACUUCAUGCUCCAAUUCCCACCUGACACCUGCACUCUGAAGAACAUAGCAAUAAGGGCUCUGAAGUUAAAAAGGCAGCAGCACUUUAAUUUUUAAAAGUCACUUCUAGCAUCCACUGUGAUGAUUAGUGUUGCCUCAAAGGAAUUUUAUUUAGUGUAUGGCUACAGACAUCCUCUAGUUUCUUUUUGGUGUGCUAUUUCUUCCCGUUUUACUUCUGUACCCCUUUUCAUUUCUGUUUGGAGUUUUCCUGACAUGACAUUUAUCCUUUCAUUGUCCUUUAUUUCAAUCAGGUUUACACUUUUCAGGGACAAGAAUAUUUUAAAGUUAUGGUGAAAACACUUACGUUCUACUGUUUUUUAAAACUGCAAGUCUGCAAUUCAGUAACUAGGAGCAAAAUAUAGUACAACAGACCUCUAGAACUUUUUUAUAUUGUCUAACUGACACUUGGUUCUCCUGGACCAGCAUCUCCUGAUAUCAUCAUCUUUUUAGUCCCUGGCAACCACCAUUCUACUCUGCUAUGAGUUUGACUAGUUUUGAUACUUCAUCUAAGUGGAAUCAUGCUGUAUUUGUCCUUCUAAGACUGGUUUAUUUCAAUUAGCAUGAUGUUCACAAGGUUCAUCUGUAUUGUUACACAUGGCAAAGUCACCAUAUUUUUAAAGGAUAAUAAUAUUUAAUCUAUGUAUAUGCCACAUUUUGUAUCCAUUUACCUACUGUCUGACAUUAGGUUGUUUCCACAUCUUGAUUGUUGUGAAUAGUACUGCAACACACAAGGGAGUGCAAAUAUCUCAUUGAGAUCCCAAUUUCAAUUAUUUUGGAUAAAUACCUAGAAGUGGGAUUGUUGUAUUGUACAAUAGUUCUAUCUGUAAAUUUUUGAGGAAGGUCCAUACUGCUUACCCUAAUGGAUGCAACAUUUUGCAAUCCCUCAACCAUGUUCAAGGGUUCAAAUUUCUCCACUUCCUCACCAAUACUUGACUGUCUUUUAUUUUCAGACAGUAGCCAUCUUCAUAGAUGUGAGGUAAAAUCGAAUUGCAAUAUCUCAUUCCUCUGAUGACUGGUGAGUUGAGCGCAAAGGACCCUGAAGAGACCUAAGACCAUUUUGAGAAGUUAGAACAAACCUGAAGGUAUAACACCUCCUGGGUUCUGAAUAUAUUACAAAUCUUCAGUAAUUAAAACAGUGUGAUUCUGUCAUUAAGACAUAUAUACAAACUAAUAGAACACAAUAGAGAACCCAGAUAUAAGGCCAUGAAUGUACAUUCAACUGAUCUUUGUCAAGGAUACCAAGCUCACACAAUGAGUAAUGAAAUAAAGAUAAAUGUUCAAUUAAAAUAUUUCUACAAAGGAUUAUGUUAAUAACUUAUGGUUAAACAUUUUAGCAACUCAUAACUACCAUGCAAAUCAGUAGGACUGAUUAGAAGGAAACUGUUUUUAAGCCAGAGAAGAUGAAAUGUUACUUAGCACUAAUUCAUAGUUGAGGAAGCGAAUGUGAUAGUGUUUGAGUGGUGUUGUUCCUUCCCUGGUCACCAUCAGUGGUCCUGUUGCUGAGAUGCCCUCUGUGCAGCUAGGAAGCAGCUGGCUGAAAGCCCCAGGAGAUCCUGUACACGGGGUAUAGAAGAACUUAAUUUUCUAUUAAUUACUAUAAACAUAUUCACAUCUGAUUGACCUGUGCUGAGAGCUGUGUAUAAAAUUCAAAAACUGUAUUUAGAAUAAAAAUUAUACCUUUUAAA
Marmota monax (woodchuck) is the source of this 2526-nucleotide non-coding RNA. NCBI's taxonomy places the organism in Eukaryota, Metazoa, Chordata, Mammalia, Rodentia, Sciuridae. The record is from the annotation of a RefSeq genome assembly.